This is a non-coding RNA of Paramuricea clavata, 1129 nucleotides long. Lineage: Eukaryota; Metazoa; Cnidaria; Anthozoa; Malacalcyonacea; Plexauridae. The record is from the annotation of a GenBank genome assembly.
CAAAACUAUUACAGAAACUCUUUUUUUUCCAAGAGUUAUUGAACUAUGGAACAAUCUACCACAUGGUUUAAAAAAAUUCCAGUGUUGCUAAUUUUAAAUCAAAACUGCAUGCAUAUUUUUCGGACAGGUUGCAAACGUACAUACCGCCGUAAUUGAUUCAGAUGCAGUCGGACUUCUAAAAUUGGAUAUUUGCAUUUUUAGUGUGAAGUUUGAAGAAACUUCACAGUAUUGUGAUGACUGGGGGGAAAUUCAAACGAAACAGUCAGUCAGUCAGUCAUACAGUAAACUUUCCGGGGGGGUGUAUACGUCUUAUGUUCGUAGUGAUAUCGUACUUAGUCUGUGCUUUGAAGGUUAUUUAGGCAAUUUCAAUUGUCUUUUUUGCCAAGUUUACAAAAAAUUCGAGGAAUUGUUGUCGUUAUUGUAAAUUUUAUAACAUGCGUUUCUUAUGUUGUGUAAAGGAUCUUCACCCCGGAACACCCGAUUUUUCCUUUAGCAGCGCAAAUGCGCAUGCGCUAUCAAGCCGUAGAUCACGAUGGCGUGACGAUGCUAGGAAGGAGCGAGACAGUGUUGUUUUGAAAUGUAUAAACAUUUCAGACGUGAAUAUUGAGUAAAUCUUCGAGAAUCUACGCAGUAUAUAAAUUGAUGUUAUGCAUUCAAUUAAGUGCCGAUAUUAUUUAGACGGUAUAUUCAUUUUACAGAGCUAGCAAGGAGCUAGUACAGUGCUUUUUUUUCAAGUGUAUAUAUUAAACAUUUCAGACGUAAAUAUUUGGUCGAAAUUCUUUGAGAUUCUAGGCAUUCAAUUGAGUGCCGAUAUUAUUUUCACGGUAUACCCAUUAUACAGAGGUAGGAAAGAGCGAGAGAGUGUUGUUUUCAAAUGUAUAAACAUUUCAGACAUGAAUGUUGAGAAAAUCUUUCAGAUUCUACGCAAUAUAUAAAUUGAUAACGUUGUGCAUUUAUACCGGCGCCCAGUUAAGUGCCAGAAGAUAUAUACAAAGCGUAAACAACUAUUACCAGUAAACAGAAGCGGGCGUUUGUAUGGCGUUUACGAAGAAAAUAACUUGUGAGUUGUGAUCGAGACUAAAAGAAAUCAGUUGAGUCUGCAGAGCUCCUUAUUUAAACAAGAAAGACG